This is a long non-coding RNA of Urocitellus parryii (Arctic ground squirrel), 132 nucleotides long. RefSeq lists it as uncharacterized. The record is from RefSeq and is a predicted model, not a curated record. Lineage: Eukaryota; Metazoa; Chordata; Mammalia; Rodentia; Sciuridae.
GGCCAAAAUAAAUCUUGCUUCCUUCAAAUCGAUUAUCUCAGAUUGAAGAAUGGAGAGAAUCACCAAAUAGGAUACUGCUGUUUGUGAGGGAAUGAAGAAAAUGACAACAUCUCCCUAAGUUGCCCAGGCUGG